GAUGAACGCUGGCGGCGUGCCUAAUACAUGCAAGUCGAGCGAACAGACGAGGAGCUUGCUCCUCUGACGUUAGCGGCGGACGGGUGAGUAACACGUGGAUAACCUACCUAUAAGACUGGGAUAACUUCGGGAAACCGGAGCUAAUACCGGAUAAUAUAUUGAACCGCAUGGUUCAAUAGUGAAAGACGGUUUUGCUGUCACUUAUAGAUGGAUCCGCGCCGCAUUAGCUAGUUGGUAAGGUAACGGCUUACCAAGGCAACGAUGCGUAGCCGACCUGAGAGGGUGAACGGCCACACUGGAACUGAGACACGGUCCAGACUCCUACGGGAGGCAGCAGUAGGGAAUCUUCCGCAAUGGGCGAAAGCCUGACGGAGCAACGCCGCGGGAGUGAUGAAGGUCUUCGGAUCGUAAAACUCUGUUAUUAGGGAAGAACAAAUGUGUAAGUAACGAUGCACGUCUUGACGGUACCUAAUCAGAAAGCCACGGCUAACUACGUG
Molecule: ribosomal RNA, 497 nt
Filed under: uncultured bacterium
Lineage: Bacteria
Description: partial 16S ribosomal RNA
Rfam family: Bacterial small subunit ribosomal RNA
Source: RNAcentral